Molecule: long non-coding RNA, 4054 nt
Organism: Eriocheir sinensis (Chinese mitten crab)
Lineage: Eukaryota; Metazoa; Arthropoda; Malacostraca; Decapoda; Varunidae
Exons: 3
Source: RefSeq, a predicted model, not a curated record
AAAGCUAUGGGUGAGUGGUCAGCGUACGCGAGCUAGCCAUGGGUGAGUGGCUAGCCUGCGGGCACAGCGACUAAGAGGACCAGGGUUCGCGUCCCGCCCACCGCUACGAACAAGCUGGCAAUUUUUCAGUCACCGCCGAGUGGCCCAAGACAACCCACCAGCUGUCCUGAAGACCACCUGUCGACCCGGACUCUGGAUUCACUCACAAAUUUAGAGGAUCAAAUGAACUCCGUGGGGGGAACAUGAGCCGAGCAGGAUGGCGCCACUAUAAACACUUGCCUGCGCCAUAACAAGCGGGGGCAGACCACCAGGACCCACCAAGAAACCCUACCGUCGCCAUAGACAACGCAAAAAAAAAGAAGGAAAAAAAGGUUCACCAACAGUCACGGAUGAGUGGAACAGGCUCGCCAGUCAUGUUGUGAGUGCCAAUGUGAUUAGUACUAUGAAGAAGAGGUUAGACCGUUAGACGCAUUCAUGGAUAGAGUGAGGUUCGGUUUGCAGGAGCUGCCUUGUAUAGAACUACCGGCCUCUUGCAGACUCCUUAUGUUCUUAUGUUCUUAUUCUCAUGAUCUGAUGUUCUAAUCCUAAUGUUCUUAUGUUCUUAUCCUUAUGUUCUUCUCAUAAUCUUAUGUUCUUAUCCUUAUGUUCUUCUCAUGAUCUUACGUUCUAAUCCUAAUGUUCUUAUGUUCUUAUCCUUAUGUUCUUUUGCUGUUAUCCUUAUGUUCUUCUCAUGAUCUUAUGUUCUAAUCCUAAUGUUCUUAUGUUCUUAUCCUUAUGUUCUUUUGUUUUUAUCCUUGUGUUCUCAUGAUCUUACGUUCUAAUCCUAAUGUUCUUAUGUUCUUAUCCUUAUGUUCUUUUGCUGUUAUCCUUAUGUUCUUCUCAUGGUCUUAUGUUCUUUGAUCCCGACCUAUCCCGCACCUUCAGUUCUUCAUAUCAUUCGUAGUUUGAGGGUAGACAACAGCACCGGAGACACAUUGGCCCAAGUGUACCAUCAUGAAUUUCGUUAGGCACCACUCUUCCUCCCUGGCCUUGUAUGAAUCACGAGUACUUGCAUACUUUCAAAUCUUAACAAUUCAUUUUUUUCUGCCGGCAACACCUGUACACAAAUAUACUGUCCGAACUGUACCCGUGAGUUUCGUUAGGCACCAGUCUUUCUCCCUGGCCUUGUAUGAAUCACGAGUACUUGCAGACUUUCAAACCAUCAUAAUUCUUUUUCUUUCCGGCGACACCUGCACACAAAUAUACUGCCCGAAUUAUGAGCCUAUGAGUUUCGUUAGGCACCACACGUUAACCUUGACCUCAUUCAGACCACAACAACUGCUACACACUCGUUGCUUCAUUAGUUUCACAGGACGACAGCUAUGGACAUUUCUCUCUUCUUCGGUGAUGCCCAUAGCGACGGUGGGCUGUUUUGAGGGGCCUCUUAGAUGACCCCAGGCUGAUAGUGGCGCGGGUGAAAUUGAUUUAUAGUGUCUGCCGUGAUGUAUGUAUGCCUCUUGCCCUGACUAUGAUGACUCAACUAUGUGAUAUGAUUAGACAAGACUCGUUUUCCUUGACCCGCUUCAUAUUGCGACUACUACGACACGCUUUCUGUUCUUCAUAUCAUUAGAUUUAUGGAGAGGACAACUGCAGAAAGAUAAAAUUAACUAACCUGAACUCCUCCUCCUCCUCCUUCUCCUACUCCUGAAGACGAAGGAGGUGAAGAGAGGAACAGAAAGGAGAGGAGAGAGAACAGAAGACGAAGGAGAGAAGGAGGAGGAGGAGGAGGAGGAGGAGGUGAGGAAGGAAGAGAGAGGAGAGUAUAGAAGAGGAUAAAACUAACCUAACUGUGAUAUAAUGAGUCUAGCUAUGCAUCACAAGUUCCAGUCAAGUUCAAGUUCAAGUCUAUUCACUCCUACACGUUUUCCAUUCUCCAUAUCAUUAUUUUUAAGGGGGGAACAACUGUAAAAAUGAUAUACUAACCUAACUAUGUGAUAAAAUGAAUCUAGUUAUGCAUCACACGUUCAAAUCAAGUUCAAGUUCAAGUCUAUUCACUCCUACACGUUUUCCAUUCUCCAUAUCAUUAUUUUUAAGGGGGGAACAACUGUAAAAAUGAUAUACUAACUUAACUAUGUGAUAUAAUGAGUCUAGCUAUGCAUCACAAGUUCAAAUCAGGUUCAAGUUCAAGUCUAUUCACUCCUACACGUUUUCCAUUCUCCAUAUCAUUAUUUUUAAGGGGGGAACAACUGUAAAAAUUAUAUACUAACCUAACUGUGAUUUGAGUCUAGCUAUGCAUCACAAGUUCAAAUCAGGUUAAAGUUCAAGUUUAUACACUCCUACACGCUUUCCAUUCUCUAUAGCACUAGUUUUAAGGGGGGAACCACUGUAAAAAUAAUAUACUAACUUAACUAUGUGAUAUAAUGAGUCUAGCUAUGCAUCACAAGUUCAAAUCAGGUUAAAGUUCAAGUUUAUACACUCCUACACGCUUUCCAUUCUCUAUAGCACUAGUUUUAAGGGGGGAACAACUGUAAAAAUAAUAUACUAACCUAACUAUGUGAUAAAAUGAGUCUAGCUAUGCAUCACACGUUCAAAUCAAGUUCAAGUCUUAUCUAUUCACUCCUACACGUUUUCCAUUCUCCAUAUCAUUAUUUUUAAGGGGGGAACAACUGUAAAAAUACUAUACCCACUUAACUAUGUGAUAAAAUUAAUCUAGUUAUGCAUCACACGUUCAAAUCAGGUUAAAGUUCAAGUUUAUACACUCCUACACGCUUUCCAUUCUCUAUAGCACUAGUUUUAAGGGGGGACCAACUGUAAAAAAUGAUAUACCAAUUUAACAAUGUGAUAAAAUUAAUAUAGUUAGGCAUCACACGUUCUCCUUGACCUACAUAUUAUCACGAGCAACUACAAAAUACUUCAAAUUCUCCUUAGUAUCGAUUUUAUGGGAAGAACAACUGUAAAUGUGAUAUACUAACUUAACUAUGCCAUUUAAUGAGUCUAGUUAUGAAUCACACGUUCAAAUCAGACUGUAAUUCAAAUCUAUACAAUACUACAUGCUUUCCAUUCUCUAUAUCAUUAGUCUUAUUGGAGGGGCAACUAUAGAAAACACAUAGGUCGGUGCUCUUAGACGCCUCCACCCCUCUCAUUAACUAUUUCCAAAGGGCAUAAAGGAUAUCAAUCGGGUUCUCAGGAGUGAUUCUUCAGGUUCACGGUGCAGAAGAAGGGUCAGACUGCCACCAGGGUCAUAAAACUACCCCUGGAAAUGCCCUAAACUAAUACAUUAACUAUUUUCAAAGGCCGUGAGUGGUUUUUUUAGGUUCACGGUACAGAGGAAGGGUCAGACUACCACCAGGAUCAUAAAACUACCCCUGGAAAUGCCCGAAACUCCUACAUCAACUAUUUUCAAAGGGCAUAAAGGAGAUCAAUUGGGUUUUCAGGAGUGUUUCUUUAGGUUCACGGCACAGAAGAAGGCUCAGACAACCACCAGGGUCAUAAAUCUACAGCUGGAAAUGCCCACAACUCCUACAAUCAUUAUUUUCAAGGGCCGUGAGUGUUUUUUUUAGGUUCACGGCACAGAAGAAGGGUCAGACUACAACCAGGGCCAUAAAACUACCCCUGGAAAUGCCCGAAACUCCUACAAUCAUUAUUUUCAAGGGCCGUGAGUGGUUUUUUUUUAGGUUCACGGUACAGAAGAAGGGUCAGACUACAACCAGGGCCAUAAAACUACCCCUGGAAAUGCCCGAAACUCCGCCGCAUACCUAAAUGUUCAAGAGUAUGACCUGUAAUGACCUAAGAGUGUGAUAUAAUGAGCCUGGUUGUCUUUCGCGUUAUCCUCGACCUAAAUGGAAUGACGAGUGACUUUGUACUUUCAAUUCUUCUUUGCAGUCGUCAUUUAAAUAUUUCCCCGCCUAGAACAGAAUCCAACCCCUUAACUUAGGAUCGAGUCUACCUGGGAUCGUCAACACCUUUUAAUAAUUAGUUGUUUUCCUUCACCUGGAUUGAUUAAUAGACCACUAGCUUCUCUCUCUCUCUCUCUCUCUCUCUCUCUCUCUCUCUCUCUCUCUCUCUCUCUCUCUCU